RNAcentral lists this long non-coding RNA (285 nucleotides) under Mytilus galloprovincialis (Mediterranean mussel). Lineage: Eukaryota; Metazoa; Mollusca; Bivalvia; Mytilida; Mytilidae. The record is from RNAcentral.
GUUGGUGAUUAUGAUGCUGCAAUGGCAGAUAUAAAUGCAGGAGGAGCAAGAGUGUGUUCGUAUUGGUACUACUGUUUCUUUAGAGAAUUAUGCAACAGUGCGUGUCAUCGUCCGCACAAACUGUGUAACUUUUGUCAGUUUGUUCACUAUUGUGACACAAAUUGUAGGAGUAGCUAUUUUCUUAGGUGGACGUGAAGAAGAAUAUGGUUACUAAAUGUUCUUAUUAAAGCAGAACUCUAUAGUUAACUUUUCUGCAAACGGAGGAAACAUUUUGUGUCGAUUGUA